GGGAGUGUAGCUCAGCCUGGGAGAGCGCACGGCUGAAGACCGUGGUGUCGGGAAUUCAAAUUUCCCCACUCCCA
This 74-nucleotide transfer RNA is filed under the name Candidatus Woesearchaeota archaeon. Its description in RNAcentral is "tRNA-Phe". The record is from RNAcentral. Lineage: Archaea; Nanobdellati; Candidatus Woesearchaeota.